This is a long non-coding RNA of Acyrthosiphon pisum (pea aphid), 3624 nucleotides long. RefSeq lists it as uncharacterized. The record is from RefSeq and is a predicted model, not a curated record. The transcript is spliced from 2 exons. Lineage: Eukaryota; Metazoa; Arthropoda; Insecta; Hemiptera; Aphididae.
AUUACGUGUUAUCAAAUACUGUAGGUAUAUGACAAUAUGGGACAACUAUAGUGUCAAAAAUCGCGACACAUGUAUGACCUUUCCCCACCGCGGUGCAUCGGGAAGGUAAUGAAUGCGCUUUAAGAUAUUGUAAUUUGUAAUAUUCAUAUUUAGCGAAUUCGAGUAUUUGCAGGGGGCUAUAUGUCAUCUAUGUCGUCUACAAUUAUUAUCAUUGUAUAACCCGUAUCGUCAUAUUAUAUAGUAUUUACAUAAUAAUAAUUAUUAUGGUUUGUGAUUGUAAGUAUAACAAUUAUACGAAACUCAUAUAUGGGUCAGGCGUGUAGAACCUUUGUCGGUGAUUGGCUAUAGUGUUACUGGCAUUUGGUUACACUCAGACUUUUGAGACGAAUCCUCGUAAAGUAGACACAUUAAGCAGUUUAUUGUUAAAAUGAAAAGAAUACCGCGCUGAAUUGGGUGCUACACCCCUUUUCACAGGAAAUGUAAACGAAAUUCGUUAAAGUUAGCAUGUUCCGUUCAAAUUCGACCUUUGCGAGAACGGGCACGUUCGAAGUCUAUAUACAUAUAAGGUUCGCCUCAGAUUCAUAUAUAGGUAUAGGUAUACCCACGUAAAAAAGAAUGCCACAGACCGGCAUCGUAUAUAUAUAUAUAAUACACCUACCUCUCAACGCGUCACAAAGGCUCUCAGAGUCCGUUCGAAAGGCUCUCUUGUCGCACGAUGUCGUUCGUAUCGAUUGGCCUUUUUUUUUCUUCUUGUGUAUGCACUGCACUUUUAUUUCGAGGGUCGAUGAAUAAAAUCAACAAUAGCCAUCUAUUUGUCGAAGGCUGUAAUGAAAAUAUAAACAAAAAUUUAAUAUGAAUAUAAGUAUAUAUAUUUUUAUAUAGUAUAUAUUAUCUAUACUAAUUAUCGUUAUUUAAUUAAAAUACUACCAACUAUGUCACCGGCACUGUACCUACCGAUGACUAUAAAAUAUAAUAAUAAUAAUAUAUAAUAUCGAACAGUGCGGAACAGUGCGAACACGGUGAUGAUUUUCAUUCGUCGACUCUGCACGCGCGUGUAUUAUGUUAUUACGUAUUAUAGGUAUAACAUUGUACAGUAAGUAUUAUAUUGUAUAUAAACAUGUUUUAUAAUAACACAUUCACACACAACUUGCUGCUCAUUUAUACGCGUACAGAUUAUAUUUAUAUGUAGAUAUACAUGCAUUUAUAUCUAUAUAUACGCGUUAUAUUGUGCAUAACUAUAAUAUACCGUGCAGCUAGUUUUAUUAGCUGGUGUAUAUGAUAUUAUUAUUAUAGGUAUAUAUAGUUGUGCGUAAUAAUCAUGAAAGGAUUUCGAUAUUUUAGUCAAUUUCAGCGUGUGCCGACCUUAUGCGAACACCGAACCUUUAUAAUAUUAUACUCGCCACUAGCAGUACACUUCAACAUUAUUAUUGUUAUUAAAGUCUCGUAAAACGACGUGUGUAACGUUUUAAAUAACGUGCGUAUGAUAUAAACUUAACUCGCAUAUAAACGCGAUGGUGAUUUAAUCAUGUUAUCAGAAAACAGCCAACCGUGAGUAUAGUUAUUCCAUUCGUAGAGUACAUUAUAUAUAUCAAGAUCCUGCGAAUAAUAUAAGAAUUUUAAGCGCACGUCUGUGUGUGCGCACGCGCAUAAGUGUUUGAUAAUAUAGUAAUAUCACACGACACGCAUGUAGUCUGACUUUUAUAAUACCCAAAGGAACAUGAAAUAUACGCGAGUGGCUGCGGAAAUUUCUGCGUAUAUAUUACGCGAAAACCACCGGAGCGUUAUUUCAAAUUUUUAGAUAAUUUAUUAACUCGGUGACAAAAAUAAGAAACUACGGCAGUGACGUAAGUAUAUAAUGCGUGCGGUGUCCCAACCCCCUUGGCCUUCUACCCUCUUACCCACGGUAAUGCCAUAUUUCAAAUAUAUACAACGACGUAUAUAAGCACGUUAAAUAAGACAAUAUAAUAAUAUCACAUAAUAUAUAGGAAGUUGUGCGUCUCUGUGGGGUAAGGUGGAAGGAAAAUCGUAUCAUCACACCACAUCGAACACAAAAUUAUUGAGGCAAUGAAGUAUGUAUACAUACACGUAUAUAUACGUACAUGUGUCUCUGUUACGUCGAGUAACGAGAUUUGUGUUAUUAUUAUUGGGUAUCAUUAUUAUAUAUUUCUACACUCAACGGCUAAAAUUGAAAAAUAAAUCUCAAUUGUAAGGUUUGAGCUAUAGGUACACGCCGUAUGGUCGUAUAAUAAUAAUAAAAAUAGAAAUUGUUAUUUGUCCGUUUCGUUCUCCGAUCGGUGCUUAUCGUUUUUAUUAAAAAGAGUUAUAUAAUAUAAUAUACCUAUACUUGUACAGGUAUUCGACUAUUCGAGUAUGCACUACAAUAGUAACGCGUCACGUGUCCAUUUUGUAUUCGGUAAUGUUAUUACACGUUCCUAAAUAAUAUUAUAUGAACUGCAAUGGCUUGAUUAUAUAGAUUAGCCAGCAUUCGCGAGUACGCCAUAUAUAGGUAUGCACAUAUUAUACCUCCGCAAAUUAAAUGAAAUGCACUACAUAUAAUGCGCUAUACACGUAUAUACGGCAUAGAGGUAGUUAUUUGAUAUUUCUCUCUCCGCGGUCGGUAUGUACUCAAUAUAAUAUUAUUUUGUUCGUGUCAUUAUUAAUAUAUGCUAAAUAAACAACUUUUGAACAAAUAUCAAUUUUAAUAAUGAAUUUCGCAUAAUUGCUGUGUUCGAUAAAUUGCCAUAUAUUAAUAACCAUGGCUGGUGGUAUGCAUUUUCAAAUAUAUUCGGCCGUGCUCAAUUUUGAAUAUUCUAUAUAGAUGAUAUUAUAGCUAAAUGGAUGAAGUGCUAUUGCGCGUAUAUUGUUAAUGUAAAACAUUUUGCGUGAUUGCAAUUUACUGUUAUUUUUUUUAUGCUAGACUGCUAGAGCGUUGUGAAACUAUAGUAUCCACUUGACGAUUCAAUCAUCUAUAGACAGAAAUUCGAAUGCUGGAACAGUAUGAACUUAGGUUGUAACUAUUUAGAACGAACAAAAAUUUAAAAACAUAAUUGUUGUGUUAUACUUGAAUAUAUUGUGAUAUUAUACCGACUUGACUAUAUUUUUCCAUCAUGAAUGACUAUAAUGCAACUUUUGUUUUUCACAUAAUUAUACUAUUCACUAUAAACUUGAAGUUGAAACUACAUUAAAAAGCAAAAAAAAAAUCUUAUAAGAUAUAUAUAUAUAAAUAUAAAUAAUUAAAUUUAAAGUCAUAUUAUAUCUAGCCAAUCCAGCACACUCCUAUAAUUGUAUUUUUCACACGUAGUAAUAAUCAAGAGUCAGGAUUUUAUUAAUUUAUAAUAAAAUAAAAUACAAAUUAAUUGGGUUAUACUUUCAAAGCAAUACCUACUCGUUUUAAUGAAGUAUAAAUCGUACGUGUACUGAACUGCAGAAAGAAUAAUCAGAAAUAUAUUUUUUUUCCUUUUUUGGAAUUAAAGUGUAUCUCUUUCACUUCCAGAGCACUCAACUUUGCCGAAUUGCAAUUGCUACAAGUACUAAGUAGAGAUGAACAACUUAAAGUUCGGUUCAUUUUCGAAAGUACCCUCUAAAAGUAUUCAUUCCUAAGAAUGGUAUUCAUUUUUUUUUUUU